RNAcentral lists this ribosomal RNA (327 nucleotides) under uncultured eukaryote. RNAcentral describes it as "partial 18S ribosomal RNA". It matches the Rfam family "Eukaryotic small subunit ribosomal RNA", at positions 1470 to 1796 of the family's 1831-position model. The record is from RNAcentral.
CCCUUAGAUGUCCUGGGCCGCACGCGCGUUACACUGAUGCACUCAACGAGCAUAUAACCUUGGCCGAGAGGCCUGGGUAAUCUUGUUAACAUGCAUCGUGAUAGGGAUAGAUUAUUGCAAUUAUUAAUCUUGAACGAGGAAUUCCUAGUAAUCGCAGAUCAUCAAUCUGCAAUGAUUACGUCCCUGCCCUUUGUACACACCGCCCGUCGCACCUACCGAUUGAAUGGUCCGGUGAGGACUCGGGAUUGUGGUUUGGCUCCUUCAUUGGGGCCUGACUGCGAGAACUUGUCCAAACCUUAUCAUUUAGAGGAAGGUGAAGUCGUAACA